CAAUAGCGUAUAUUAAAGUUGUUGCGGUAAAAAAGCUCGUAGUUGGAUUUCUACCGAAGAUAGCCGGUCGGGUCUUCGACCUUGUAUCUGGUUUUGUCUUUGGUAUCCUCAUAGGGAACGUUUCUGCGCUUUAUUGCGUGGUGCGGUAUCUAUGACUUUUACUUUGAGGAAAUUAGAGUGUUCACGGCAGGCAAACGCCUUGAAUAUAUUAGCAUGGAAUAAUAACAUAGGAUCUUCGUCCUAUUUUGUUGGUUUCUAGGGCUAAGAUAAUGAUUAAUAGGGAUAAUUGGGGGCAUCUGUAUCAACGCGUCAGAGGUGGAAUUCUUGGAUUGCGUUACGACGAACUACUGCGAAAGCAUUUGCCAAGGAUGUUUUCAUUGA
RNAcentral lists this ribosomal RNA (381 nucleotides) under uncultured eukaryote. RNAcentral describes it as "partial 18S ribosomal RNA". It matches the Rfam family "Eukaryotic small subunit ribosomal RNA", at positions 592 to 976 of the family's 1831-position model. The record is from RNAcentral.